AAGUCGUAACAAGGUUUCCGUAGGUGAACCUGCGGAAGGAUCAUUACAAGAGUGCCGGGUUCGCCCGAACAUUCUCACCACCGCGUACGAAACUCAGUUGCCUCGGCCGCCUCGCGGCCGUUGGACAUCCACACGACCCGUUUGAACGUUGUCAAACCCCUCGCGAAUGCGAAAAGCAAAACUUUUAACAAUGGAUCUCUUGGCUCCG
RNAcentral lists this unclassified non-coding RNA (208 nucleotides) under fungal sp. RNAcentral's name for it is "partial internal transcribed spacer region". The stretch from base 1 to 46 matches the Rfam family "Eukaryotic small subunit ribosomal RNA", at positions 1786 to 1831 of the family's 1831-position model. Lineage: Eukaryota; Fungi. The record is from RNAcentral. RNAcentral also lists the same sequence under 1 other name.